RNAcentral lists this ribosomal RNA (1115 nucleotides) under Kytococcus sedentarius. RNAcentral describes it as "bacterial SSU rRNA". It matches the Rfam family "Bacterial small subunit ribosomal RNA", at positions 126 to 1254 of the family's 1533-position model. Lineage: Bacteria; Bacillati; Actinomycetota; Actinomycetes; Micrococcales; Kytococcaceae. The record is from RNAcentral.
UAGACCUCCACUCUGGGAUAAGCGCUGGAACGGCGUCUAAUACUGGAUACGACCGACCCUCGCAUGGGGUGUUGGUGGAAAGAUUUAUCGGUGGUGGAUGGACUCGCGGCCUAUCAGCUUGUUGGUGGGGUAAUGGCCUACCAAGGCGACGACGGGUAGCCGGCCUGAGAGGGCGACCGGCCACACUGGGACUGAGACACGGCCCAGACUCCUACGGGAGGCAGCAGUGGGGAAUAUUGCACAAUGGGCGAAAGCCUGAUGCAGCGACGCCGCGUGAGGGAUGACGGCCUUCGGGUUGUAAACCUCUUUCAGCAGGGAAGAAGCUUUUGUGACGGUACCUGCAGAAGAAGCACCGGCUAACUACGUGCCAGCAGCCGCGGUAAUACGUAGGGUGCGAGCGUUGUCCGGAAUUAUUGGGCGUAAAGAGCUUGUAGGCGGUUUGUCGCGUCUGCUGUGAAAAUUCAGGGCUUAACCCUGGACGUGCAGUGGGUACGGGCAGACUAGAGUAAUGGUAGGGGAGACUGGAAUUCCUGGUGUAGCGGUGGAAUGCGCAGAUAUCAGGAGGAACACCGAUGGCGAAGGCAGGUCUCUGGGCCAUUACUGACGCUGAGAAGCGAAAGCAUGGGGAGCGAACAGGAUUAGAUACCCUGGUAGUCCAUGCCGUAAACGUUGGGCGCUAGGCGUGGGUCUCAUUCCACGAGAUCCGUGUCGCAGCUAACGCAUUAAGCGCCCCGCCUGGGGAGUACGGCCGCAAGGCUAAAACUCAAAGGAAUUGACGGGGGCCCGCACAAGCGGCGGAGCAUGCUGAUUAAUUCGAUGCAACGCGAAGAACCUUACCAAGGCUUGACAUGCACUGGAUCGCCUCAGAGAUGGGGUUUCCCUUUGGGCUGGUGCACAGGUGGUGCAUGGUUGUCGUCAGCUCGUGUCGUGAGAUGUUGGGUUAAGUCCCGCAACGAGCGCAACCCUCGUUCUAUGUUGCCAGCACGUAAUGGUGGGGACUCAUAGGAGACUGCCGGGGUCAACUCGGAGGAAGGUGGGGAUGACGUCAAAUCAUCAUGCCCCUUAUGUCUUGGGCUUCAAGCAUGCUACAAUGGCCGGUACAGAGGGUUGCGAAA